UCCACGCCGUAAACGAUGUCAACUAGCCGUUGGGCCUAUUUAUGGGCUUAGUGGCGGAGCUAACGUAUUAAGUUGACCGCCUGGGGAGUACGGCCGCAAGGUUAAAACUCAAAUGAAUUGACGGGGGCCCGCACAAGCGGUGGAGCAUGUGGUUUAAUUCGAUGCAACGCGAAGAACCUUACCUACCCUUGACAUCCAGAGAAUCUGUUAGAGAUAGUAGAGUGCCUUCGGGAGCUCUGAGACAGGUGCUGCAUGGCUGUCGUCAGCUCGUGUCGUGAGAUGUUGGGUUAAGUCCCGUAACGAGCGCAACCCCUAUCCUUAGUUGCUAACAUUAAGUUGAGAACUCUAGGGAGACUGCCGGUGAUAAACCGG
Molecule: ribosomal RNA, 372 nt
Filed under: uncultured bacterium
Lineage: Bacteria
Description: bacterial SSU rRNA
Rfam family: Bacterial small subunit ribosomal RNA
Source: RNAcentral